Molecule: ribosomal RNA, 492 nt
Filed under: uncultured bacterium
Lineage: Bacteria
Description: partial 16S ribosomal RNA
Rfam family: Bacterial small subunit ribosomal RNA
Source: RNAcentral
AGUGAACGCUGGCGGUAGGCCUAACACAUGCAAGUCGACCGACAGCACAGUAAGAGCUUGCUCUUACGGGUGGCGAGUGGCGGACGGGUGAGGAAUACAUCGGAAUCUACUUUUUCGUGGGGGAUAACGUAGGGAAACUUACGCUAAUACCGCAUACGACCUACGGGUGAAAGCAGGGGCUCUUCGGACCUUGCUCGAUUGAAUGAGCCGAUGUCGGAUUAGCUAGUUGGCGGGGUAAAGGCCCACCAAGGCGACGAUCCGUAGCUGGUCUGAGAGGAUGAUCAGCCACACUGGAACUGAGACACGGUCCAGACUCCUACGGGAGGCAGCAGUGGGGAAUAUUGGACAAUGGGCGCAAGCCUGAUCCAGCCAUACCGCGUGGGUGAAGAAGGCCUUCGGGUUGUAAAGCCCUUUUGUUGGGAAAGAAAAGCAGCAGGUUAAUACCCCGCUGUUCUGACGGUACCCAAAGAAUAAGCACCGGCUAACUUCGUG